CCUACGGGAGGCAGCAGUGAGCUAUAUUGGUCAAUGGGUGCAAGCCUGAACCAGCCAUCCCGCGUGAAGGACGACUGCCCUAUGGGUUGUAAACUUCUUUUGUAUAGGGAUAAACCUACCCUCGUGAGGGUAGCUGAAGGUACUAUACGAAUAAGCACCGGCUAACUUA
This 169-nucleotide ribosomal RNA is filed under the name uncultured bacterium. Its description in RNAcentral is "partial 16S ribosomal RNA". It matches the Rfam family "Bacterial small subunit ribosomal RNA", at positions 338 to 504 of the family's 1533-position model. The record is from RNAcentral.